GUGUUCACUUGGGCACCUCAUAUACUAAAACUGGAGCAAUAAAAAGAAGAUUAACAUGAUUUCAGUGCAAGGGUGUCAUGCAAUUUGUGAAGUGUUCCAUAUUUUU
Small nuclear RNA from Myodes glareolus (Bank vole), 106 nucleotides. The record is from RefSeq and is a predicted model, not a curated record. NCBI's taxonomy places the organism in Eukaryota, Metazoa, Chordata, Mammalia, Rodentia, Cricetidae.